UCUUCUUCUGUUAAUCUCUCUUGUGUCAAUUUUAUUAUUAGCUCAGCCACAAGAACUCAAGAAGGAUAGAGGGGGAAGCUUCCUUCUUCCUGACGGUACCCUGGGUAGAAGGAGCAGCUUUAAAUUCUCAGAGAUGUCUGACACAGGUUUCAGCAUCCUUUUGGGAUGUAGAAACCACCAUCUCAAACUGCAGAGUUCUCAGCUCUCCAGCUUCUGGAUGUCAUUCACCAAGGAUCAGUGAGCUGGAUGUUCCAUAGGUGUGAUCCAAAAUUCUUCCCUACCAGCCUUUUCCCUUCCAUCUGGGGAUUAGCCCAGGCCCAUGGGUAAAUCACAUCUUCCUGCCAGUUUUCUGUCUCCUGAGCUCCGCAGCCCGGAGCGUCCUGACCAGACCAAGAUCUGCGCUCGCGCUGCCCCCCGUGGGUGAAAGAACCGACUGUCGUUGGGUGCCGUGGCUGGACGGAGGAUUUCAAGACCGGAUAGAGCAUAUUCCAGAUUACUGGAGCUACUGA
RNAcentral lists this long non-coding RNA (509 nucleotides) under Cervus hanglu yarkandensis (Yarkand deer). RNAcentral describes it as "lncRNA (ENSCHYG00000006787.1)". The record is from RNAcentral. Lineage: Eukaryota; Metazoa; Chordata; Mammalia; Artiodactyla; Cervidae.